Molecule: ribosomal RNA, 778 nt
Filed under: uncultured Neocallimastigales
Lineage: Eukaryota; Fungi; Neocallimastigomycota; Neocallimastigomycetes; Neocallimastigales
Description: partial large subunit ribosomal RNA
Rfam family: Eukaryotic large subunit ribosomal RNA
Source: RNAcentral
CGUCUAUAUACGUAUAGCAUAUCAAUAAGCGGAGGAAAAGAAACUAACUAGGAUUCCCUCAGUAACGGCGAGUGAAGCGGGAAGAGCUCAAAUUUGAAAUCUUCAAGGUUCUACCUUGACGAAUUGUAGUUUAAAGAAGUGUUUUCUGUUGGAGUUUUGGUAAAAGUUCUUUGGAAUAGGACAUCAUAGAGGGUGAGAAUCCCGUAUUUGACCAUUAUUUCCAACUUUGUGAUACACUUUCAAAGAGUCGGAUUGUUUGGGAAUGCAGUCCAAAAUGGGUGGUAAAUUUCAUCUAAAGCUAAAUACUGGCGAGAGACCGAUAGCGAACAAGUACCGUGAGGGAAAGAUGAAAAGAACUUUGAAAAGAGAGUUAAACAGUACGUGAAAUUGUCAAAAGGGAAGCGUUUGACACCAGUGUUGUUUUCUCGAAAAUCAAUUAAAAAUGAGUUGGAUUUUGUGUUGUAUUGACUUUAUCAGCUUUCUGCACUCUUUUCUUAUCUUUUUUAAUGCACUUUUCGUUUAACAAGUCAACAUCCAAUUUCUUUUGUUGUAAAAGAGGUCAUUGGAAGGUGGCUUUCUUUUCGGAGAAAGUGUUUAUAGCCUUUGACUUCUGCAAUCGGAGAGAUUGAGGUCUGCAGCGUAGAUCCUUCGGGGUUAGAUAGCAUUUGUGCUAAGCUAUAGCCUUUCAUAGACAACUUGUUGACUAUGAUCAGUCAUGUAGCUUACUCGCUUAUGCUAUUUUACCUACGCUUAGGAUGUUGACGAUCAGCUGAGCGCG